GGGUGGUCUGCAUGUCCCUCAGCAGCAUCCUUCGCUUAUUGCUCUUCAUUAUUUUACUGCAGCUUCCGUGGGAAUCAGGGUUGGGAGGAGAGAUAGAAAAGAGAUCCAAGAGAAGAUUUCAGUAAAGCUGCACUGAAAUGUGGCAUCCAUUGUCGAUGAGAAGUGGACUCUAGAGUCAAGAGUAAGCAAGAAAUUCAGUCAAUGGGUUGAGGGCCGAACACAGAAAAAUGACCUGAAGAACUUUGUAAAUACUAUUGGAUGGGGAUGUCAUGUAGGUUAGGAUAUGAGAAAGCAGACAAAUGCGGGAAAUUUAAAAGCAAAUAUUGAAAUUUUCCCAGGGCAUCUUUAACUCUAGCAUCCACCCUUUGGACUUCUUUUCCAGGAUCUUCCAUACAGUGCCCACUACCCAGGAUGGUCUUCCCAUCUUGAUGACACCAGCCUGUCCUCGACUUGCAUUCCUUAAGAGCUCAUUAAGUUUGAAGAGGCCAGACGGUGCUGUCAGUUAUCUGUGGUUUUCAGAACUGACAAUGAGUAAGUGGUGGCCAAGAUGGAUUGAGAAAGCUAAAACGUACGGAGAGGAGUGAGAAAACGGAGCUGUUGUAGCUCAGGGAACAAACACGACUACUUUAACACAUCUCUUGUGUUUAGGGGUUGUGUGUAUGUAUGGGUAAGGUGGUUUCUUUAUUACAAUGGAGUUUGGGUGGAAUAACACCCACAUAGGUCUUAAGUCCAUGUCAAAGAUUUAGCUCAAGAAAGGAUUAGAAAGAUAUUCCCACUAA
This 779-nucleotide long non-coding RNA is filed under the name Sus scrofa (pig). Its description in RNAcentral is "lncRNA (ENSSSCG00015073402.1)". Lineage: Eukaryota; Metazoa; Chordata; Mammalia; Artiodactyla; Suidae. The record is from RNAcentral.